This 98-nucleotide small nucleolar RNA is filed under the name Cebus imitator (Panamanian white-faced capuchin). RNAcentral describes it as "Small nucleolar RNA SNORA70 (ENSCCAG00000006408.1)". It matches the Rfam family "Small nucleolar RNA SNORA70", at positions 38 to 135 of the family's 135-position model. Rfam says of the family: snoRNA U70 seems to be exclusive to mammals and is a member of the H/ACA class of snoRNA which contain H (ANANNA) and ACA box motifs. Lineage: Eukaryota; Metazoa; Chordata; Mammalia; Primates; Cebidae. The record is from Rfam by way of RNAcentral.
CUGAUCCCAGUGUGCAAUGGCUGCAAACAGCAUCUUCCUUGGUAGUGAAUACAGCCUGUUUCUUGUAUGGGUUGCUCUAAGGGACGUUGGAGACAGGC